RNAcentral lists this ribosomal RNA (153 nucleotides) under Glossina morsitans centralis. RNAcentral describes it as "partial 16S ribosomal RNA". The record is from RNAcentral. Lineage: Eukaryota; Metazoa; Arthropoda; Insecta; Diptera; Glossinidae.
UUAGAUAUAUAAUUAUUUAUUUUUGAAUAAUAUUAAUUACUAUUUUGGCAGAAAAGUGCAAUAAAUUUAGAAUUUAUUUAUGUAAUUUAUUACAAAUAGUAUUGUAUUUAUUUGAAAUUAUUUUAUUUAUAAUUAGAAGAUUAUUAUUAAUUA